RNAcentral lists this ribosomal RNA (325 nucleotides) under uncultured eukaryote. RNAcentral describes it as "partial 18S ribosomal RNA". It matches the Rfam family "Eukaryotic small subunit ribosomal RNA", at positions 1470 to 1796 of the family's 1831-position model. The record is from RNAcentral.
CCCUUAGAUGUCCUGGGCCGCACGCGCGCUACACUGAUGCAUUCAACGAGUUCUACCUUGGCCGAGAGGCCUGGGCAAUCUUUUGAACCUGCAUCGUGAUAGGGAUAGAUUAUUGCAAUUAUUAAUCUUGAACGAGGAAUUCCUAGUAAACGCAGAUCAUCAAUCUGCAUUGAUUACGUCCCUGCCCUUUGUACACACCGCCCGUCGCACCUACCGAUUGAAUGGUCCGGUGAAGCCUCGGGAUUGUGGCGAGUUCCCUUUGUUGGGAGUUUGUCGCGAGAACUUGUCUAAACCUUAUCAUUUAGAGGAAGGUGAANUCGUANCA